AGUGUUUUAAGAAAUUUAUGUUACCAGGCAAAUAAGUGAAUUGCAUAUCAGGUCUAUAAUCUCGGAAGAGACAGAGUUAUGUGCAUCCACUGUAAGGGCAGUCCAACAAACAGGUUUUCUACUUUGACCUACCUCUCUCCAGUAGGGGUGACUCUUCAUUGCCAGGCAGAAAUUGUAAACUGAAUCUGAAGUAUAAACAGGCCAUAUUCAAGAUACCAGGGUCACAAGUCUCAAAGGACUUAGCUGUAUCAUGGCCACUGAGAGAUGAAAUGCAUAUUUUUACUUAUUAUUUAUUU
Mesocricetus auratus (golden hamster) is the source of this 296-nucleotide small nucleolar RNA. The record is from Ensembl. NCBI's taxonomy places the organism in Eukaryota, Metazoa, Chordata, Mammalia, Rodentia, Cricetidae.